RNAcentral lists this ribosomal RNA (404 nucleotides) under Fusobacteriota bacterium. Its description in RNAcentral is "Fusobacteria bacterium partial 16S ribosomal RNA". It matches the Rfam family "Bacterial small subunit ribosomal RNA", at positions 355 to 776 of the family's 1533-position model. Lineage: Bacteria; Fusobacteriati; Fusobacteriota. The record is from RNAcentral.
UGGGGAAUAUUGCACAAUGGGCGAAAGCCUGAUGCAGCGACGCCGCGUGAGUGAAGAAGUAUUUCGGUAUGUAAAGCUCUAUCAGCAGGGAAGAAAAUGACGGUACCUGACUAAGAAGCCCCGGCUAACUACGUGCCAGCAGCCGCGGUAAUACGUAGGGGGCAAGCGUUAUCCGGAUUUACUGGGUGUAAAGGGAGCGUAGACGGCGAAGCAAGUCUGAAGUGAAAACCCAGGGCUCAACCCUGGGACUGCUUUGGAAACUGUUUUGCUAGAGUGUCGGAGAGGUAAGUGGAAUUCCUAGUGUAGCGGUGAAAUGCGUAGAUAUUAGGAGGAACACCAGUGGCGAAGGCGGCUUACUGGACGAUAACUGACGUUGAGGCUCGUAAGCGUGGGGAGCAAACAGG